Long non-coding RNA from Spea bombifrons (plains spadefoot toad), 243 nucleotides. RefSeq lists it as uncharacterized. The transcript is spliced from 2 exons. The record is from RefSeq and is a predicted model, not a curated record. NCBI's taxonomy places the organism in Eukaryota, Metazoa, Chordata, Amphibia, Anura, Pelobatidae.
UGCUAGGUGAUUAAUUUAGGUGAAUGAGAGGGCGGAUAUAAAAGGGAAGCCAGGAGGGCAGGUAGCUCUCUCUGGCUGAGGACACAGAAAGCCUGUCUGUGGGAGAGACAUGUGAGUAAAGGGACAUCCCUUGUAUAGUAAGUGCCGGACAGGCAAGGUAUUUCUUUUGUUGCUGUGUUGUUAUAUUUCUUUUGUCUUUGCAACCUUUCUAAUAAACCUGACCCUGUGUCAGAUUGCACGAAC